Molecule: long non-coding RNA, 2059 nt
Organism: Homo sapiens (human)
Lineage: Eukaryota; Metazoa; Chordata; Mammalia; Primates; Hominidae
Exons: 2
Source: RefSeq, a predicted model, not a curated record
CUGCGCGCUGGAACCCCGCCCGCCUCAAGGCUCCUGCGCAGGCGCGCAGGGCAGGCGUGGAGCCCGCCCUGGGAGGGCCCCGCAGGAGAUGGGGAAAUGGAGGGACGCUGCACCAGGGCGCUUCCUGGGGCCAGGCGACGCCUUCUCCUUGGAGCCUCCAAGACCGUCCCUCCUAGAAACGAGAGAGUCUGACCGGGCGCGGUGGCUCACGCCUGUAAUCCCAGCACUUUUGGAGGCUGAGGCGGGUAGAUCACCUGAGGUUGGGGGUUCGAGACCAGCCUGGCCAAUAUGGUGCAAUCCCGUCUCUACCAAAAUUACAAAAAUUAGCCAGGCGUGGUGGCGCGCACUUGUAGUCCCAGUUACUUGGGAGGCUGAGGCAGAAUUGCUUGAACCCAGGAGGCGGAGGCUGCAGUGAGAGGAGAUCACACCACUGCACUUCAAGGAUUCCUACCGUCUGUCUCCACGUGAUGACACUGAAGAGCCUUCACGUCUAUGACGGCCUAGGGUCUCAAGUGCAGAGACUGAGAGCUCUGCCAGACACAGCAUGGAGCCGCCAUUCCUCUACUGUUCAGUGAUUGGGUGGAAGAGCAUCUGUCCUCUGAACAGGGGAUCCAAGCCCUGAGAUGAUGUUUCUCAGCAGUCAGUGUGGCCCAGGACUUUCUGUGGGCAUGCUCAGAGAGCAGGGGCCAGAGGACUUUUAGCCACCACCUUCUAUGGCCAGUCUUCACAAAUUACCUUUGGCUAAUUUGAUUGUCUCUCCUCCUGGGGUCUAGGACUUCAAACACAUACAGAAGCGAUUGCAGAAUUGAAACAAGACACUUCCACAAUAUACUUUUUGUAUCAGUGGCUCAGAAAAAGACUCAUUCAAAUCCUGUAUCAAAGCCAUGUGUGAGCAUCUUGAGAAAGCAUUGACUGACUAACUUGACAAGGGAGGAAGCAAACAAGAAUUCUGCCCUUCUUCAGUGCCUGAGUGUGAUAUUUUGCCUCAACAUCCCUCUUAGAUGAAGUUACUGAUUGAAAAUCAUUUAAGUUUUUGCCCCGUGAUAAAAGAUCGCGUCCUCAGAAAGAUCUCCAAAGCAUUUACUGUUUGUUUGGUUUGGUUUUGGUAAGUUUACCAUGAUUUUGCUUGAAUUGCUCUCCGCUGAUCUUCUCAGCUAAGAUCGAGGUAGAGUUGCACAGCAGAAGAGGGCUGCAUGUAAGGAGGCAGCUCUGUCUCGGAGGACAAAAGGCCUGGGAGCAUCCAGACAGGCAGUCACUGUGUGGAGGUCACUCCCCUCCCAGUGGCCACUGUGGAGGCAUUUCAUAGAAAUGCUCGCUGGACCAUUCAGUUUUAGAGUUGGGACAAAACCGAGAACUCAUGAGGAUAUCGGAUAGGAGUUAGGAAAUGACUUUUUCACACAACCCAGGCAAGGAGGGGAGAACCCUGGGCUUGAGACUUGCAAUCCACUGCCUGCCCCUGCAGUGUGGCCCGUUACGUUUUCUGCAACUCUGCCUUCUUGAGUCCAAAUGUCUUUGAAAGGGGCAAAUGCUUCUUAAGUGCCAACAGGGUGUGUUUCAGUGAAUGUUCACAGUGUGCACUGGUCCGGCUGAAGGCCUCUUCCCUUCCCCAACACCCACCCAUCAGUGCAAAAGACUGCUGCCCAGCAGGGAGUGACAUCUGUGUCUCAGAUUUUCUUGCUGUGCUCUGAGUACUCACUCCUCAUCUCCUUUGACCAGUUUCCUAACACUCCCCUUGUUCACAACACAGAACAUGAGUGCUCUUUCCUGUCAUUUUGACGCUGAUAAACAGCAAUUCUGUGUGAAAAUGAGAAUGAAGAUUUUUUUAAAGACAGGCUACAAUAAUUCCCAUGCUGAGAACCACAUGUGAUGACACUUGUGAUGAAGAUGAGGACAGCAACGAGCUGAGAGACUCCAACCAGGAUUCACACAUGCAAGGGGAUGCAUGAGAAUGGGGAUGGGACAUUGGUGGUUAGCAUCCUUGCUUGUCUCAGAAUGGACGUGGGUUGUGGAUUUCUAACUCCUGGAGAAACCAGAGUUCUAGGAAUUGUAAGCCACUUUA